CGGGGCGUAGCGCAGUCUGGAUAGCGCACCUGAAUGGGGUUCAGGUGGUCGGAGGUUCAAAUCCUCUCGCCCCGA
RNAcentral lists this transfer RNA (75 nucleotides) under Candidatus Atribacteria bacterium. RNAcentral's name for it is "tRNA-Pro". It matches the Rfam family "tRNA". From Rfam's summary of the family: Transfer RNA (tRNA) molecules are approximately 80 nucleotides in length. Their secondary structure includes four short double-helical elements and three loops (D, anti-codon, and T loops). Further hydrogen bonds mediate the characteristic L-shaped molecular structure. tRNAs have two regions of fundamental functional importance: the anti-codon, which is responsible for specific mRNA codon recognition, and the 3' end, to which the tRNAs corresponding amino acid is attached (by aminoacyl-tRNA synthetases). tRNAs cope with the degeneracy of the genetic code in two manners: having more than one tRNA (with a specific anti-codon) for a particular amino acid; and 'wobble' base-pairing, i.e. permitting non-standard base-pairing at the 3rd anti-codon position. Lineage: Bacteria; Pseudomonadati; Atribacterota; Atribacteria. The record is from RNAcentral.